AUAUUCCCACUACAUAAUAUCGUGGCAUUUUACUUCCAAUUCUUUUCUUAUGUAUAUGCUUUUCAUUAAGUGUGAAUGUGAUCCUUUUAAAAAUCCAGUAAAAAUAUAUAGUGUGAUCUUGCUUUUUAUUUACAUAAUCCUUACUACAUUGUACCAAUAUUAUUCUGCAACUUGCUUUUCUACUCCAAUAUUACACUUUUUAUUUAUUGUGAUACAUAUGGAUCUAAUUUAUUCCAUGCUAUGAAGAUGGACAUUUAAGUGGUUUAUAUUAAGUUGUUAUAUUCAAGUUUCUGGUUAAUAUCCAGUUGGCACACCCUGAUAUUUGGGCAUUCCAUAUUCCUCUGUCUCUUCAAUUCCUCCUUAAUGCAUAUUUUUUCUUCACUAUUUUCACCCCAAAAUGGGUAUCAACCAAAGUACCGACCUAAGAAAACUGUGAAUAUUAAGUAAAGUAGAAACAUAAUCCCUGGGAAGGUUUGUUACUUACUCGGCACAACGUUUUCUUCCAAUCUAAAAGGGCAGAAGACACAGCCACGAAACAAGCGCUGCAAUCUGGAGCUUCUCCGGUUUUACCCUGAAUUCAGCUCUCAUCACCACCCUAGGAGGUGGGGGAAUCCUCUUAUCCCCAAUUCACAGAUGAAGAAAACUGUGACAACUGCUUUAAGAUCUCCUUUUCUGCCCCCAAGGAUUCUAAAGCUAACACAACAAAACGACCUUUUAUUUACUGGUUUACUUGACGUGCUUACUGACACCUCGUCUGAUCAAACCUUCAGGGCCAGCCCCAUCGGCCGCACGUCGCUGGCUCCCAAUUAGCACUGAAGGGUGGCUGGAAUAAAUGAAUGGAGAAUUCCAGGCCUAGCCGGACGCGAUCUGAUCCGGUUCGGCGGCGAGGAGGGGGCCCCGGACACCCUCCCCCUGCCCAUCGGGGCGGGCCGCCUGCCCCGCGCCACACCGUCCAAUGGGUUUCGCCUGCCUCGCGGGUGGUCAGGCCCCCUUCUCACGCCCACCACACAGCCACUGCCACGAGCCGCCACGCCGGCAGGACACCGGCUGCCUUCGGACAGGUGCUCCCGCAGGAGGCCCGCCUGAGCCGGGUGGGGCAAGACGGCGGGACCCUGAGUCACCGCCGGUAGCCUCGGCCUUGGCGUCACCGACUGCCGGGCCAAGGCGAGGUCCGAGCCUGCGGCCGGCCCGGGUCUCCUGGGGCAGGCUGCCCGUCCUUCCCGCCGGAGUCCCAAGAGGCCCCCAGCCCCUCGGCACCGCGCGGCGCGGGCCUCCCGGCCUACCCAGCAGCCCCGCCCAGGCCCACCUCUAAUUGCCUGACCAGCCCAGAGAGUGGGUCUCUGGCGGUCACCUUCCCCCACACCGUGGCCAGUGGGCUCUAUGGUAAACACAGGACAGAGGUCAGACCAAUCAUGAGACGUGGUGAGUUCCUGAUUUGUUAUUUUGACUGUACUAAGUGUUGGGGUCAGUCUCUGAGACCGACUGACUGAACUGGGAUUUGGGGUGGCCAGAUUCUGUGAGAUGGACUGGAGAAGAAGAGAAAGCCAGUGAAUGGAAAAAUAAUGAUAAAAUGAAAGGAAGAGUAGAGAGUCACAGAGAAAUUCUGAUGGUUUUGUGACUCCCAGCUUAAGACUUUUCCAGGGCCCAGUGGCAUUCACUUUCUUGCAGACACCCCUUUAUCAUUGUAAUAAAUUCCUCUUUUCUGCUAAAGCUAGGGGUAUCUGUUAACUUUAACAAAUGAGCCCCGCCCUGCCUAGUGUGGAAAGUGCUCAAAUAGAGGUAAAGAUAUUUCUGCCAGAACAUUCUGCAGCAAUUCACGUCUGUCCCUGCCAGUAUUGACUAAACAAGAUGCCUAACAGGAAUGCCAGCUGAUCCAGGAAGGCAGAGCCCAGGGUCUCCUUUGGGCGUUUCUUGC
RNAcentral lists this long non-coding RNA (1915 nucleotides) under Bos grunniens (domestic yak). Its description in RNAcentral is "lncRNA (ENSBGRG00000024362.1)". Lineage: Eukaryota; Metazoa; Chordata; Mammalia; Artiodactyla; Bovidae. The record is from RNAcentral.